RNAcentral lists this ribosomal RNA (253 nucleotides) under uncultured bacterium. RNAcentral describes it as "partial 16S ribosomal RNA". It matches the Rfam family "Bacterial small subunit ribosomal RNA", at positions 524 to 776 of the family's 1533-position model. The record is from RNAcentral.
UACGAAGGGGGCUAGCGUUGCUCGGAAUCACUGGGCGUAAAGCGCACGUAGGCGGAUUCUUAAGUCAGGGGUGAAGUCCUGGAGCUCAACUCCAGAACUGCCUUUGAUACUGGGAAUCUCGAGUCCGGGAGAGGUGAGUGGAACUGCGAGUGUAGAGGUGAAAUUCGUAGAUAUUCGCAAGAACACCGGUGGCGAAGGCGGCCUUCUGGACAGUGACUGACGCUGAGACGCGAAAGCGUGGGGAGCAAACAGG